GUGGGUGUAGCUCAAGGGUAGAGCGCCGGACUGUGGCUCCGGAUGUUGCGGGUUCGAAUCCCGUCAUCCACCCCA
RNAcentral lists this transfer RNA (75 nucleotides) under Acidobacteriota bacterium. Its description in RNAcentral is "Acidobacteria bacterium (drinking water metagenome) tRNA-His". It matches the Rfam family "tRNA". From Rfam's summary of the family: Transfer RNA (tRNA) molecules are approximately 80 nucleotides in length. RNAcentral also lists the same sequence under 1 other name. The record is from RNAcentral. Lineage: Bacteria; Pseudomonadati; Acidobacteriota.